Molecule: long non-coding RNA, 160 nt
Filed under: Chrysemys picta bellii (western painted turtle)
Lineage: Eukaryota; Metazoa; Chordata; Testudines; Emydidae
Description: lncRNA (ENSCPBG00000025504.1)
Source: RNAcentral
GGGGGAAUUCAGCAAUUCUUUGGUUGCUAAGUGUGAGUGACAACUGUUAAGCAUGGCCCAAGGAGCCACUGAUCAAAGUAAUGUGGAAACUGCUGACCCAGAGGAGAGUUCUCCAAAUAUGAUUGUCUACAGAAAGAAUAAAGAAUGCUCCGGCUUUGAG